RNAcentral lists this ribosomal RNA (492 nucleotides) under uncultured bacterium. RNAcentral's name for it is "bacterial SSU rRNA". It matches the Rfam family "Bacterial small subunit ribosomal RNA", at positions 903 to 1397 of the family's 1533-position model. The record is from RNAcentral.
AAAUGAAUUGACGGGGACCCGCACAAGCAGCGGAGCAUGUGGUUUAAUUCGAAGCAACGCGAAGAACCUUACCUAGACUUGACAUCUCCUGAAUUACUCGUAAUAGAGGAAGUCCCUUCGGGGACAGGAAGACAGGUGGUGCAUGGUUGUCGUCAGCUCGUGUCGUGAGAUGUUGGGUUAAGUCCCGCAACGAGCGCAACCCUUAUUAUUAGUUGCUACUAUUAAGUUAAGCACUCUAAUGAGACUGCCGCGGUUAACGUGGAGGAAGGUGGGGAUGACGUCAAAUCAUCAUGCCCCUUAUGUCUAGGGCUACACACGUGCUACAAUGGCUGGUACAACGAGCAGCAAACCCGCGAGGGGGAGCAAAACUUGAAAGCCAGUCCCAGUUCGGAUUGUAGGCUGAAACUCGCCUACAUGAAGUUGGAGUUGCUAGUAAUCGCGAAUCAGCAUGUCGCGGUGAAUACGUUCCCGGGUCUUGUACACACCGCCCGU